AGUAGGUCCCGAAGAGUCACAAGCAAGUGGGCUAUUUCUAGAUUUAACAUUGAUAAGAUGAGAAAUGAACCAUUUGGUCUCCACAAUAAUUUCAAAUAAUCAACUAAAAAAACUCGUCUAUGGUUCUAGCCUGCUGCAUGAUGUACGGCAGCAUUGAUGCUGAAGGCAAAUUACACUAGAAGAUUUAAAGCAUUAAGGGGAAAUUAUCAAUUCCGAAAAUGAGACUGAUUUGCAGGAGCUCAU
RNAcentral lists this unclassified non-coding RNA (243 nucleotides) under Hevea brasiliensis (rubber tree). Lineage: Eukaryota; Viridiplantae; Streptophyta; Magnoliopsida; Malpighiales; Euphorbiaceae. The record is from RNAcentral.